Molecule: ribosomal RNA, 406 nt
Filed under: uncultured bacterium
Lineage: Bacteria
Description: partial 16S ribosomal RNA
Rfam family: Bacterial small subunit ribosomal RNA
Source: RNAcentral
GACGAACGCUGGCGGCAGGCCUAACACAUGCAAGUCGAACGAGUGGCGGACGGGUGAGUAAUGUCUGGGAAACUGCCUGAUGGAGGGGGAUAACUACUGGAAACGGUAGCUAAUACCGCAUACCAUCAGAUGUGCCCAGAUGGGAUUAGCUUGUUGGUGGGGUAACGGCUCACCAAGGCGACGAUCCCUAGCUGGUCUGAGAGGAUGACCAGGCACACGGGAACGGAGACACGGUCCAGACUGCUAAGGGAGGCAGCAGUGGGGAAUAUUGCACAAUGGGCGCAAGCCGGAUGCAGCCAUGCCGCGGGUAUGAAGAAGGCCUUCGGGUUGUAAAGUACUUUCAGCGGGGAGGCGGUACCCGCAGAAGAAGCACCUGAUAACUCAGUGCCAGCAGCCGCGGUAAUAC